RNAcentral lists this ribosomal RNA (505 nucleotides) under uncultured bacterium. RNAcentral's name for it is "bacterial SSU rRNA". It matches the Rfam family "Bacterial small subunit ribosomal RNA", at positions 32 to 512 of the family's 1533-position model. The record is from RNAcentral.
AAUCAACGCUGGCGGCGUGCCUCAGACAUGCAAGUCGAACGCGAAAGUUCCCUUCGGGGAGCGAGUAGAGUGGCGCACGGGUGAGUAACACGUAGGUAAUCUACCUUUGGAUGGGGAAUAACAACCGGAAACGGUUGCUAAUACCGCAUAAUGCAGCGGCACCUAAUGGUGACAGUUGUUAAAGCGGGGGAUCGCAAGACCUCGCGUCUGAAGAGGAGCCUGCGGCGGAUUAGCUAGUUGGUAAGGUAACGGCUUACCAAGGCGAUGAUCCGUAGCCGGCCUGAGAGGGCGGUCGGCCACACUGACACUGACAUACGGGUCAGACUCCUACGGGAGGCAGCAGUCGGGAAUUUUGGGCAAUGGGCGAAAGCCUGACCCAGCAACGCCGCGUGAAGGAUGAAAUCCCUCGGGAUGUAAACUUCGCAAGAACAGGAAGAAUAAGUUUGUGCUAACACCACAAGUGAUGACGGUACUGUUUGUAAGCUCCGGCUAACUCCGUGCCAGC